GACGAACGCUGGCGGCGUGCUUAACACAUGCAAGUCGAACGGGAUUUAGUAAACGGAAGCUUCGGUGGAAGAUUACUAAUGAGAGUGGCGAACGGGUGAGUAACGCGUGAGCAACCUGCCUAUGACAGUGGGAUAGCCUCGGGAAACCGGGAUUAAUACCGCAUAAAAUCGUAGAAACACAUGUUUUAACGGUCAAAGAUUUAUCGGUCAUAGAUGGGCUCGCGUCUGAUUAGCUAGUUGGUGAGAUAACAGCCCACCAAGGCGACGAUCAGUGGCCGGUCUGAGAGGAUGAACGGCCACAUUGGAACUGAGACACGGUCCAAACUCCUACGGGAGGCAGCAGUGGGGAAUAUUGCACAAUGGGGGAAACCCUGAUGCAGCGACGCCGCGUGAACGAAGAAGGUAUUCGUAUCGUAAAGUUCUGUCCUAUGGGAAGAUAAUGACAGUACCAUAGAAGAAAGCUCCGGCUAAAUACGUGCCAGCAGCCGCGGUAAUACGUAUGGAGCGAGCGUUGUCCGGAAUUAUUGGGCGUAAAGGGUACGCAGGCGGUUUAAUAAGUCGAAUGUUAAAGAUCGGGGCUCAACCCCGUAAAGCAUUGGAAACUGAUAAACUUGAGUAGUGGAGAGGAAAGUGGAAUUCCUAGUGUAGUGGUGAAAUACGUAGAUAUUAGGAGGAAUACCAGUAGCGAAGGCGACUUUCUGGACACAAACUGACGCUGAGGUACGAAAGCGUGGGGAGCAAACAGG
RNAcentral lists this ribosomal RNA (746 nucleotides) under uncultured Finegoldia sp. Its description in RNAcentral is "bacterial SSU rRNA". It matches the Rfam family "Bacterial small subunit ribosomal RNA", at positions 28 to 776 of the family's 1533-position model. Lineage: Bacteria; Bacillati; Bacillota; Tissierellia; Tissierellales; Peptoniphilaceae. The record is from RNAcentral.